ACUCAUGAUUAUCAGACAACACAUUGGCAGUGAGUUCAUCUGCUCUACUCUGCUUUGGAAUAACACAUGUGAUUAACCAGAUAGGCAUUUUCCAAAAACAAACUAUGUCACUGAAGAAUGCAAGACUGUUUCUUUAGAGCCUUCCAUGCUUAACUUGAAAGCUGUCAACCCAGGAGGCUGAAACAGAGCUAGAUUAUGAAUCCUGAGUGAAUAGCUCAUUCUUUGCGCCCAUGCUUUUGCUGCAUGCUGCCAUGUGGUACAAGGCUGAGAGGUAUGCACUAUGAUAGCUAAUGAAGCACUUCCUUUAUAUCGCACUGACCAGAACUCUUACUUGAAGCCCGUAUAUUAUGCCACUGAAAUCUCACAAUGUGAGCUUUUGUUCUGGCUAGCAGAGGCAGUUGCUUGUCCUUUCUGUAGCUAAAUUUCAUGCACCAAAGUUGUUAGACCCUUUACUAAUAUGUGUAGGUCUAAGUCAUAAAACCAGCUUCUGCUAUGUUUGCAAGAAUGUUUUGUUUUGUUUUGUCUGCCUUUUCAAUGCAGCAUCCCCUAAAGCCAAUCAUUUGUAAUUUUGAGGCCAUUGAGAGAUAAAAGGCUUGAAGUAAAAGUCAUCGGCCCUCCUGAACUCACUCAUCUAUGUCAAAUAUAGUGAUACAGUUAACAUUCUAAGAACAGAGAUUGAGAAGAAACUUAAUUUAGGAUGAAAAGAAUGGCAUCAGAUGGACCAAAAUUAAUUACACUGUGUAAUCCUCGAUGUAACUGAGAAAUAUUCAAUGUGACCCAUUUGUUAUAUUUAAACAUAUUAUUAUCAUAAGGUAUUAUGUAAUUAGGGCCUCCUUUCCUGGACUGUGGUUAGAUUUUGUGUCUCAUUGCAUGCUUUCAGAAAGUGACCUAAAGAACAAUACAUAGUGAUUGUCAUAACAAUCUAUGAAAUAUAGGCUUCGGUUAACCAAAAUGCAAAUAUCAAAUAUUUAAAAGUUCCUCAAAACUUAUAAAUUUUUAAAUGAAAAAAUUAUGAACCACAUUCUCAAACUUGAGGUGUAUCAAGUCCUUCAGGGAGUCCUCCAUGGUUCCUUCCUCUCCCUCAUUGAACACAUCCCAUCAGUCACAAAAUACCAUAACUACACAUCCCCAAACUGGCGGCUUCUCUUCAAUCCCUUCUCCAAGCCCUUGGUAUCAGUAGCCACCAUUUUUCACUGUGUGAAAGCUGAUUUUACAAAUUGGGUCAUUCUUGUAAUAUUCAGGUAAAACAGAAUAGAAGAACCAGGGAGAAAGCACUCAAGACAUAUAGCACCUGCUCCAAGAAUUAAAUCUUCCACAAGCCCAGCUGCUGAAACUGCCCAUUGGAACAUGAAACCAGUUUUUCUCUCAUAGCUACUGAAACAACCUGCUAUGAGUCUAAGGCCAGUUUUAACCACCACUGUCACUCAUGAAUCAGAGCUUGCCAGCUCCCCAGAAUUUUACUAGUGCCAAUGAACUUUCUGGAAAAACAAUAUGUAACAUUUUUCCUUUUAGAAAACCUCCAACCUUCUCCUUGUUCUUUAGACAAAGAUCAUCUGGUUUGUGUGUAUGCCCCGAGUUGCAAUUCUUGCUUCCCAAAUAAAAUUUAGAGAUUUGUCUCUAGAUUGCAUUUAACUUAGACACCUGGAUCUAACACACCUAUUAUUUUAGCUUGUUUUCAGACUGCUAUAAAGAGAUACCCAAGACUGGGUAAUUUUAAAGGAAAGAAGUUUAAUUGACUCACAGUUCCACCUGGCUGGGGAGGCCUCAGGAAACUUAUAAUCAUGGCAGAAGGUGAAGGGGUAACAGGCACCU
Molecule: long non-coding RNA, 1812 nt
Filed under: Homo sapiens (human)
Lineage: Eukaryota; Metazoa; Chordata; Mammalia; Primates; Hominidae
Description: non-protein coding lnc-DLC1-1:2
Source: RNAcentral